GACGAACGCUGGCGGCGUGCUUAACACAUGCAAGUCGAGCGGUAAGGCCCUUUCGGGGGUACACGAGCGGCGAACGGGUGAGUAACACGUGGGUGACCUGCCCUCAGCUCUGGGAUAAGCCUGGGAAACCGGGUCUAAUACCGGAUAUGACUCCAUGACGCAUGUUGUGGGGUGGAAAGCCUUGUGCGGCUGAGGAUGGGCCCGCGGCCUAUCAGCUUGUUGGUGGGGUGANGGCCUACCAAGGCGACGACGGGUAGCCGGCCUGAGAGGGCGACCGGCCACACUGGGACUGAGACACGGCCCAGAUUCCUACGGGAGGCAGCAGUGGGGAAUCUUGCGCAAUGGGCGAAAGCCUGACGCAGCGACGCCGCGUGAGGGAUGACGGCCUGGU
Molecule: ribosomal RNA, 391 nt
Filed under: uncultured bacterium
Lineage: Bacteria
Description: bacterial SSU rRNA
Rfam family: Bacterial small subunit ribosomal RNA
Source: RNAcentral